RNAcentral lists this ribosomal RNA (773 nucleotides) under uncultured Neocallimastigales. RNAcentral describes it as "partial large subunit ribosomal RNA". It matches the Rfam family "Eukaryotic large subunit ribosomal RNA", at positions 22 to 645 of the family's 3401-position model. Lineage: Eukaryota; Fungi; Neocallimastigomycota; Neocallimastigomycetes; Neocallimastigales. The record is from RNAcentral.
UACACGCUGUGACUAGCAUAUCAAUAAGCGGAGGAAAAGAAACUAACAAGGAUUCCCCUAGUAACGGCGAGUGAAGCGGGAAGAGCUCAAAUUUGAAAUCUUAAAGGGUUUCCCUUUACGAAUUGUAGUUUAAAGAAGUGUUUUCUGUUGAGGUUUUGGUAAAAGUUCUUUGGAAUAGGACAUCAUAGAGGGUGAGAAUCCCGUAUUUGACCUUUACUUUCAACUUUGUGAUACACUUUCAAAGAGUCGGAUUGUUUGGGAAUGCAGUCCAAAAUGGGUGGUAAAUUUCAUCUAAAGCUAAAUAUUGGCGAGAGACCGAUAGCGAACAAGUACCAUGAGGGAAAGAUGAAAAGAACUUUGAAAAGAGAGUUAAACAGUACGUGAAAUUGUCAAAAGGGAAGCGUUUGACACCAGUGUUGUUUUUCCGAAAAUCAAUUAAAGAACUGUUUAUGCUAAGUUGUUUAGACUUUAUCAGCUAACUGUUUAGUUUUGAGCUUUUCUUUAAUGCACUUUUCAGUUAGCAAGUCAACAUCAAUUUCUUUUGCUGUAAAAAAGCUUGAGGAAGGUGGCUUGAGAUUCGUCUUAAGUGUUUAUAGCCUCUUGCCUAUGCAGUCGGAGAGAUUGAGGUCUGCAGCGUAGAUCCUUCGGGGCUAAAUGCAUUUGUGCUAAGUUAUAGCAUUUUAUAGACAACUUGUUGACUAUGAUUUGUCUUGUAGCUUACUCGCUUAUGUUAUUUUACCUACGCUUAGGAUGUUGAAGUCAUCGUAUCGCGC